Molecule: long non-coding RNA, 2016 nt
Organism: Hypanus sabinus (Atlantic stingray)
Lineage: Eukaryota; Metazoa; Chordata; Chondrichthyes; Myliobatiformes; Dasyatidae
Exons: 5
Source: RefSeq, a predicted model, not a curated record
UGUGAAAGGUGCAGAAGCUUUUGAGGGCUUGAGAUAAAAUCUUUAGAUGUGAUUGUUAAUCCUCUAUCGCUAGCUUUUAGUGACAUUAAUAUAUGCAAUUCAUAAGACAUCUUGCAACACCUAGGCAUCUUCCAUUCAAAAUAUUUCAAAACCCUAUUUCCCAACCAUGGUUUUUACUAAAAGCAAAAGCAACAAAGACACACGUAUAUUCCUCUCCAAGCUGCACCAUCUUCUUGAUUAGAUGUUACCACUGGUCACGCACUGUCGCUGGACUCAAAUCAUGGAAUGCUCUCAAGUAGCGAAUCAUUGAAAACCUAGGCUCUAUUCGUCCAUGCUUAUCAAGGUUCUGUUUAAUGGUUACCUCCUAUCACCCUGCUCAACACUCCUUAAAGAUACUGAAGGUGGAGUUUCUUUCCAAUUGGGGAUGAUGGACUAUAGAGGAUAACAGCAGUUAUGGCAGCAAACUGAGCAUUACAAGCUGCCUUAAUCAACUUCAGCUUUACCAGAGGCAGCUGGAGUGGAGCAGGAAGCUAUCAAGCUCUGACAAGGGACAGUGCUUAGCUGGCAAUUCCAGCUUCUGUUGCCAGCUCAUCUCACAUGGCUUUCAAUAACGAGGAGCUGCAAACAAGCUUGAACACAUCAUCUAAGCAAGCUAAAGUCCACUAUCAAAGACAUCUAAUGAAGGAGAAGAAGCAGUUCCUGAAAUGUUGAGUGGGUGCCUUCAGGCUCCUGUAUCUCUUCCUUGAUGAUUCAAUCAUGACCUCUGGCACUGCUUGGAGCUUGCUUAUAUUCCUCUGGUGCUCUGGAUUCCCCCCCCAACAGCCCCAGAGAUCAGGAGGUCUAUAGGCUAACUGACUACUGUAAAUUGAUCAUACUGUGUGGAGUUCUCUCGAAGAUCCUGACCUGGAGUCACACACUGACUUUGGUUCUUUGCGGGAAUGGGACCCGCUCUUGGGGGUCUUAUGACUGGCUGCUAUUCGAUAUACCAAGGAUGUGGCCUAGAAGACUAGUGUGCCUGGAUUUUGUGGCUCUGGAGGCGGUCAGACUCGAAGUCGGUGUCUUCGCAGGAAACUGAUGUGUCAUGGGCAUACAUGGAAGAUCGAAAGUAGCAAGCUGGCUAUUGGCUGUAUGCCCAGAGAACCGAGUUCUUUGGCUACAGAGCUCGGAAAAAGCUACGCAAAGACUAUUAACAUUGUAAAUCAGCAAGUUGUUUGUUAUGUCUCCCCUUGCACUGUGAAACUAGGACAACUCCCCCCCCCCCCCCCCAUUAGGGAGGGGUGAGAGUGUGGUAUGUUGAAUUAGAGGGUGAACGAGUAGUCUUUGGGGUACUGCAAAAGUAUGUCUCUUUAUUGAUUCUUUGCUGUGCGCUUCAGUGCUCAGUGGGGGGGCACCAAUGCUCUUUAGCUGGUGGGGGAGGGGGGAAUCGUUGCUUUACUGCUGCUUAUGUGUGGGAGGAGGGAGUUGGGGGUGCGACUUUGGGAUUCCAACAUUUAACUGUCAUUCAUUCUUUGGGGCACUCCUCUGUUUUCAUGGAUGGUUGUGAAGAAAAAGAAUUUCAGGAUGUAUAUUGUAUACAUUUCUCUGACAUUAAAUGUACCUUUGAAACCUUGUGACGGGUUUGGGCUAGGUAACUUCUAAUCAACAAAAACAUUAUUGGCCAAAUGGGGCCCCACAGUGUUAAAUUUUUCUUAUAAUUUUAGCAAGCUCUAUUAAAUUUUGUUAUAAUAUACCCAGCCAGACUUGGAGCUGAUUACAAUUGGAUCUGUAGGCUUCUAUAUCUAGUGACAUGGUGGAAGAGAAAUAGCAGACAGUAAGUUUAAAUUCAAAAGACCAGCACCUAUUUCUGUCCCCAUCUCUACUCCAAAGAGUAUUUCCAGCUUAACAAUUUAAUUAACUUCGAUGCCUCCCAAUGAGAAGAAUUUCUUCAAGAUACUGGAAAUUCAGCAGGAAAUAACUUAUUCCAAAUAAUACAUACUGAUACAAGUUGUUGGAUUGACAAAUAAUUACAAGAUAAUA